AAUGAACGCUGGCGGCAGGCCUAACACAUGCAAGUCGAGCGAGCAUUUCGGUGCUAGCGGCGGACGGGUGAGUAACGCGUGGGAACGUGCCCUUUUCUGCGGAAUAGUCCUAGGAAACUGGGGGUAAUACCGCAUACGCCCUUUUGGGGAAAGAUUUAUCGGAGAAGGAUCGGCCCGCGUUGGAUUAGGUAGUUGGUGGGGUAAUGGCCCACCAAGCCGACGAUCCAUAGCUGGUUUGAGAGGAUGAUCAGCCACACUGGGACUGAGACACGGCCCAGACUCCUACGGGAGGCAGCAGUGGGGAAUCUUAGACAAUGGGGGCAACCCUGAUCUAGCCAUGCCGCGUGAGUGAUGAAGGCCUUAGGGUUGUAAAGCUCUUUCAGCUGGGAAGAUAAUGACGGUACCAGCAGAAGAAGCCCCGGCUAACUCCGUG
RNAcentral lists this ribosomal RNA (433 nucleotides) under uncultured bacterium. RNAcentral's name for it is "partial 16S ribosomal RNA". It matches the Rfam family "Bacterial small subunit ribosomal RNA", at positions 29 to 507 of the family's 1533-position model. The record is from RNAcentral.